UUCCUAUGUGGCUGUUGCUGCUAUACUAAAGAUGGCUGCCAACUUAUUUGCAAGGCAUGCUAGAAGGAGCCAGAUUCUGUCCCAUGAAGUAAGAAACCUCCUUAUUUGUGCCAGAUGCACAGCUCUUAUACCCGAAAGAGGAAUAAAGAGAGUACCAAAUAAACCUCGGAGGAAAGAUGGACAUGAGACCACUUCAUACAACCUGUACUGGGAAGAUAGACUCAAGAAUGUUCCAAGGCCUCCCUUAUGGAUACAGCCAGACAAAGCUCAUAGAAAAUCACCUGCUAAUAAAACUUCUCGUGCAUUCUCUACUGCAGAAAAAAGAAUUGCUGCUACUGCUGUAAUCACUAUGUUGGCUGCUGUAAUCUCAUUCAAGAUUGUUUUUGGGAAUAAAGAAAAAAAAGUGACAGCUGAAUCUGAUUCAAGUAAAUUGCCUGCAUAGCAAAUGUGGAUUUGAGAACAUUUGCAUCCACUGAGUCAUCUGUAUUUCCUCAUUUAUGGUGCUUCAAUUGCCUCACAUCAGAUGUAACCUUUGUGUAUUAUUCUCAUGAUGUUUAGUUUCUAUAAAUAGUAUUUGUAAUUAAAAUAAUGAUGAACUAGAAUGUUU
This is a non-coding RNA of Rhopilema esculentum, 607 nucleotides long. NCBI's taxonomy places the organism in Eukaryota, Metazoa, Cnidaria, Scyphozoa, Rhizostomeae, Rhizostomatidae. The record is from RefSeq and is a predicted model, not a curated record.